RNAcentral lists this long non-coding RNA (523 nucleotides) under Actinidia chinensis (golden kiwifruit). RNAcentral describes it as "long non-coding RNA (ACHI_LNC008410)". Lineage: Eukaryota; Viridiplantae; Streptophyta; Magnoliopsida; Ericales; Actinidiaceae. The record is from RNAcentral.
ACCACAUCCUUUCUCCUAUUUUUUCACGAAAAAAGAAAAAAGAGAAAUUCCAUGUUCCUCUUUUGACGCGGGAAAGUGAAAAGCUUAGCUCUAAAGGCCUCUGCUGAAGCAUAAUUAAUACAGUAAAAAAUAUACAAAGAAAGAGAGGGGGAAGAGCUGUUUAGAGAGAGAAAGCUACUUAAUUAGAGAAAGAGCAGAGAAAGCUACUGGGAACUGUUUAGAGAGAGAAAGCUACUUAACAGAGAAAGGGAACUGUAUAGAGAGUGGUAGCUGCUUAAAUUGAGAGAGACAGCCCCCAGAGAGAGAGAGAGAGAGAGAGAGAGGGGAAGGGAAAGAACUACAUAGCGAGAGAAACAGGGGAGAGGAGAGAGAGGCAGAGGAUCCAUGGGAUUAAUAGCAAAGGCGAAGAACAGCAACGAAGGUUGGGGAAUGGGAUUCUUCCUAGUCUUCUUUCCCGAAGACGAACCCAUCGAAAUCAACAACAAUAAGAAAAACAAUCCUUCUCUUCAUAUUCACGUCUUCA